UUUGCAAUUAUCUAUAUUACUGAUAUGGAUUACAACUUACAUCCAUCCAACGCCGCCGACGACAUAUAACGCACGUCCCGUGCGUAGGAAGAUUCAGAUUUCUUUCUGAUCCUGCCUUUGAUGAGCAAAGAAGAAUACUCUUAUCUUAUAGGGAUGUAUUGAGGCAAUUCAAUCAAACCUUUUCAUUUAAUAUAAGAUGAUAAUUACAAUUUGUACAAAGAUAUAGCUAAUUCCCAUUUACAAUGUGAAUCACUCUACAAAUAGAGCUAACCCCCAUUUACAAUCUACAUCUUCGACAAAAUCAACGCAGUGCCAAGUUCUUUCAUUUACAAUGUGUAAGCAUAGUGAAUACAAACUAAGCACCAGUGAGCUUUGUCGCAGAUUACAACUACAUUAAACUAAGCAUCAAUUUCAGUCAGUCUUCGACAUAAUUUCACGCUAGUCUUCGACACCAGUACCAAUUUCAUUUAACUGGUCUUGGACAGCAGUGCCUAGUUCAUUUGCCAAUUUCAGUUAGUCUUCGACACCAGUACCAAUUUCAUUUAACUGGUCUUGGACAGCAGUGCCUAGUUCAUUUGCCAAUUUCAGCAGUGCCUAGUUCAGUAGCAGUGCCUAGUUCAUUUACACUUCAACUACUGCUACACCAGUACCUAAAGAACAAAUUGUUUCAAAUAAGCAUUUUAUCAAACAUCUAGAGCACAUUAAAAAAAAAACAAAUAGCUUCUAUGUUAGUUGUAAGGUUAAAUACCAUAAAAUCAAGGUAUGAGGGACACAAAUUUAAAAAAAUCCAAUUAUACAUAAAAUCAAAGUAUAAGGAUACAAAACAAGAAUAAAUCAAAAAGAAGAGAAGCAAAAAAAAACCUUGUUCCUGGUGUGGC
Molecule: long non-coding RNA, 878 nt
Filed under: Trifolium pratense (red clover)
Lineage: Eukaryota; Viridiplantae; Streptophyta; Magnoliopsida; Fabales; Fabaceae
Description: long non-coding RNA (TPRA_LNC006680)
Source: RNAcentral